UACAGAGGUCUCAACCGUUGUUCGGAUUCAUUGGGCGUAAAGGGUGCGUAGGCGGCGGGGUAAGUCAGGUGUGAAAUCUCGGGGCUCAACCCCGAAACUGCACUUGAUACUGCCUCGCUCGAGUACUGGAGAGGAGACUGGAAUUUACGGUGUAGCAGUGAAAUGCGUAGAUAUCGUAAGGAAGACCAGUGGCGAAGGCGGCAUCCUGGACCGGCAUUGACGCUGAGGAGCGAAAGCCAGGGGAGCAAACGGG
Molecule: ribosomal RNA, 253 nt
Filed under: uncultured bacterium
Lineage: Bacteria
Description: partial 16S ribosomal RNA
Rfam family: Bacterial small subunit ribosomal RNA
Source: RNAcentral